AGAACGAACGCUGGCGGCAGGCUUAACACAUGCAAGUCGAACGCCCCGCAAGGGGAGUGGCAGACGGGUGAGUAACGCGUGGGAAUCUACCUGGUUCUACGGAAUAACUGAGGGAAACUUCAGCUAAUACCGUAUACGCCCCAAGGGGGAAAGAUUUAUCGGUGCCAGAUGAGCCCGCGUUGGAUUAGCUAGUUGGUGGGGUAAUGGCCUACCAAGGCGACGAUCCAUAGCUGGUCUGAGAGGACGAUCAGCCACACUGGGACUGAGACACGGCCCAGACUCCUACGGGAGGCAGCAGUAGGGAAUCUUGCGCAAUGCGCGAAAGCGUGACGCAGCAACGCCGCGUGGGGGAAGAAGGCCUUCGGGUUGUAAACCCCUUUCAGUUGGGACGAAGCUUUGCCGGUGAAUAGCCGGUUGGAGUGACGGUACCUUCGAGAAGAAGCCCGGCUAACUACGUGCCAGCAGCCGC
Molecule: ribosomal RNA, 469 nt
Filed under: uncultured bacterium
Lineage: Bacteria
Description: SSU rRNA
Rfam family: Bacterial small subunit ribosomal RNA
Source: RNAcentral